ACGACUACAUAUCAGGCAUAUCAAUAAGCGGAGGAAAAGGCAGCAGCCGAGUAUCCCAAUUAUAUUGCUUUUGACUUUAUGGGGAAGUCUACCACCUAUAAGACACUGAUCAGACAGAUUGAAGAAUGUGCAAAGGCACUGAAGACAUUGGGGGUUCGCAAGAAUGAUUGUGUAACGGUUGCUAUGCCCAAUUGUCCGCAGGCAAUCUGUAUUUUUUAUGCAAUCAAUCUUGUUGGCGGUAUAGCCAAUAUGAUACACCCGCUUUUCUGCCAAAAUGAAAUUGAAUUUUACCUCAAUGAAUCGGAAAGUACGACAGUGAUAACGCUGGAUCAGUUUUACAGCAAGUUUGAAGCAGUGCGCAAAAAUACCGGUGUUGUCAACAUUGUACUGGCCAGCAUCCGGGAUGCACUUUCACCCACCAUCAGAGCAGGAUAUAUGCUGACCGAGGGGGCGCAAGAUAGAGAAAAUUCCCGACGAUGCACCGGUAAUCCGCUGGAAACAGUUUUUGAAACUGGGAAAAUGUUGCUUCUGGAACUACAAGGUGAAGCGCAGCGCAGAAGAUCCCGCGGCGAUUCCUUAUUCCGGAGGUACAACAGGAACCACCAAAGGGAUUUUGCUUACAAACUAUAAUUUCAAUGCAUUGGCGGCGCAGAUUGUUGCCACCAAUCCCAUGUUUGAGCCGGGAGACAGAAUGCUGGCUGCCAUGCCGCUGUUCCAUGGUUUUGGGCUGGGGGUAUGCAUUCAUCCCAUGUUGGCCAAUGGUGGACGGUGUGUUCUUGUACCGCGGUUUACGCCUAAAAGUUAUGCCGGACUGAUUGUGAAAUACCGCUGUAACUUCAUUGCAGGGGUACCUACGCUUAGGAUGUUGAGUAGCGACAUACGCAC
RNAcentral lists this ribosomal RNA (885 nucleotides) under uncultured Neocallimastigales. Its description in RNAcentral is "partial large subunit ribosomal RNA". Lineage: Eukaryota; Fungi; Neocallimastigomycota; Neocallimastigomycetes; Neocallimastigales. The record is from RNAcentral.